CCUCCGUUUUUCCGCCGUCUUUACUUUUUCUCACUUGUCUCAAUCCUUACUCAGCAACGCCGCGUGAUUGAUUAAGCCCUUCGGGGUGUAAAGAUCUGUCAGUGGGGACGAAACUUGACGGUACCCACAGAGGAAGCACCGGCUAACUCCGUGCCAGCAGCCGCGGUAAUACGGAGGGUGCAAGCGUUGUCCGGAAUCAUUGGGCGUAAAGAGUUCGUAGGUGGCAUAUUAAGUCUGGUGUUAAAUGCAGAAGCUCAACUUCUGUUCGGCACUGGAUACUGGUAAGCUUGAAGGCGGUAGAGGUAAAGGGAAUUCCUGGUGUAGCGGUGAAAUGCGUAGAUAUCAGGAGGAACAUCGGUGGCGUAAGCGCUUUACUGGGCCGUAAUUGACACUGAGGAACGAAAGCCGGGGUAGCAAAUGGGAUUAGAUACCCCAGUAGUC
Molecule: ribosomal RNA, 441 nt
Filed under: uncultured bacterium
Lineage: Bacteria
Description: partial 16S ribosomal RNA
Rfam family: Bacterial small subunit ribosomal RNA
Source: RNAcentral